AGUAGGGGUUUGGAUAGAGUGUGGGCAUGGAACCAUGGUUUUUUACCUCCAUCUUGAUUGGAGGUGUUGAGUUCAAAAAAUCAAAAAGUCUCCCUAAUUUGGGUAAUUUAAGUUUGUGGGAACAGAUGAAGCAACAACUUGCGUCGGUCUGGUUAUAUGUAACCGGAAUACUAAAAUGUUCAUCUGAUCAGUAGCUUUGAGGACAAACCCAUCCAAGCCUGACUUGCCAUCAUUUGUAUUUGUCCUUUCUUUUUUCUCCAGCAGUGAAAUACUUAAGCUCCAGCUUCCAUGGCUGCUUGAUUAUAAUUGCAGCUGAUCAAUGGUAGCAAUCAAUCAGGAGGAAGGCAUAUCAUUCCAAGCGGUUAUUCAUUACCUCCGGCCCUCAUUACAUAUCAUAUGAGAUUGUUUAUUAUUCAUUCCCGGUCUUAAGGUUUUUGAUGAUGAUGGGUCAUCAUUUUUCAAGCUAUAUUUCUUCAAUUAUGUGGUUAAAAGUUUUACAUGUUAAUGCAUUUGAAAGGUUGAGACUUCUUCUGGAUCAGUAAUGCCUGCCUGCUUUGACAAAACUUCGAGAUGUCCAGAUGAAACUGUUCGGAGGAUUCGGAUGACUGUCUCUUUUGAAGAUCGCUACUGGGAUGGGAAGUUACUGGAGACUUAUGACACGCUUUGUGAUAGAAUUGUGGUUGCACCUUGCACUUGGUAAGUUACUUCUCACAUUGAUAUUGUUUUUGAUACUUAAAGGGAACUGAGUAUUGUCAAACAAAUUACUCGUAUAUUACAUUUAUCUGAAGUAAAUUCUAAAACUUUGAGGUCAAUCCUAAUCAAUUCUUUGUUACAGUAUCCUCAUAUAAUAUUUUUUUCAUUUUCGUGGCCAUGAGUUCCCAAAUGCUCAAGCUUUUGGAGGACACAUGAGCUCUCAUAGCAAGACGAAGAAAAGCUUACCGAAGAAGGCGAAUAGAGCUCGAAAAGGAUCUUUCAAUUUUUGCUCUGGAAACGAAAGGAGGUUGAGGACUGCAAGUGGAAUGAUGAAGGACUCGUGGAAGGAGAGUUUAGAGAGUGAGGAAUCUAUGAAUUGUGAAAUUGUAGAGGAGGCUGGUGAAGAGUGAUAUUGUUUCAUGACUUUUAACUGGUCACAAUGGCGAAAAAGGAUUCAUGUAGCC
Molecule: long non-coding RNA, 1157 nt
Organism: Dendrobium catenatum
Lineage: Eukaryota; Viridiplantae; Streptophyta; Magnoliopsida; Asparagales; Orchidaceae
Exons: 4
Source: RefSeq, a predicted model, not a curated record